This is a long non-coding RNA of Eriocheir sinensis (Chinese mitten crab), 894 nucleotides long. RefSeq lists it as uncharacterized. The transcript is spliced from 2 exons. The record is from RefSeq and is a predicted model, not a curated record. NCBI's taxonomy places the organism in Eukaryota, Metazoa, Arthropoda, Malacostraca, Decapoda, Varunidae.
GUGCGUGUGCGCGAGUGUGUGUGUGUGUGUGUGUGUGUGUGUGUGUGUGUGUGUGUGUGUGUGUGUGUGUGUGUGUGUGUGUGUGUGUGUGUGUGUGUCAAUUACCCUUAGCUCAUAAAGUGGAUAAUGUGAUAAUACUUAACCAAAACAUUCCACCUCUUCGUACACACAAUACAGAGAAAACACGAACCCAACUAUGCCAGCAAACGUCUCAGGUGUGAAGCGUAAUUAAUCAAAGGUAAUCUAAGGUGUGAACAGUCAAUUUUUAGGGUACACAUUCCAUAAACAAAGCAGACGUGUAUUGCUCUUAUGUUUCUUUGUGUAUUGCUCUUAUGCUUCUUUGUUUGUCUCGUGUCUUCAGAUAAUAAUAAAUAGAUACUCAUAAGUGGGUUGUGUUAAUGCGAUGUGAAUGUAAUGUUAAGGUUCUUUACUGUGUACUUCGUGUUUCUAUGUUACACGGGCACUCAUAAAUAGGUUGUGUUAAAUAGUUUCUUGGUCCGUUUCCUGUGUUUGUGUUACAUGGAGUCAUAAAUAGGGUGAGUCAGUGCUUUUUCUUUUCUGCCUCCUAUGCUUGUGUUUCACGGGCACUCAUAAAUAGGCUGUGUUAAAUAGUUUCUUGGUCCGUUUCCUGUGUUUGUGUUACAUGGAGUCUUACAAAGAGGGUGAGUCAGUGUUUUUUCUUUGUCUGCCUCCUAUGCUUGUGUUUCACGGGUACUCAUAAGCAGGUUGUGUCGAGGUGAUGUGGCUGAUGCAUUCCAGUAACAUUCCCCAUACUGAGUGGUGAACUCCGCUUCCAUCCAUUCACAGUCCCAGUAGUAAGAUUUCAACGCUGUGCAGUAAUGUGUGUAAACUUGUUUGUUGUGUAAGAAAAUAAAUAAAAUACAUUUAACGUUU